RNAcentral lists this ribosomal RNA (501 nucleotides) under uncultured bacterium. Its description in RNAcentral is "partial 16S ribosomal RNA". It matches the Rfam family "Bacterial small subunit ribosomal RNA", at positions 30 to 523 of the family's 1533-position model. The record is from RNAcentral.
AUUGAACGCUGGCGGCAAGCUUAACACAUGCAAGUCGAGCGGAGAUGAGGUGCUUGCACCUUAUCUUAGCGGCGGACGGGUGAGUAAUGCUUAGGAAUCUGCCUAUUAGUGGGGGACAACAUUCCGAAAGGAAUGCUAAUACCGCAUACGUCCUACGGGAGAAAGCAGGGGAUCUUCGGACCUUGCGCUAAUAGAUGAGCCUAAGUCGGAUUAGCUAGUUGGUGGGGUAAAGGCCUACCAAGGCGACGAUCUGUAGCGGGUCUGAGAGGAUGAUCCGCCACACUGGGACUGAGACACGGCCCAGUCUCCUACGGGAGGCAGCAGUGGGGAAUAUUGGAAAAUGGGGGGAACCCUGAUCCAGCCAUGCCGCGUGUGUGAAGAAGGCCUUAUGGUUGUAAAGCACUUUAAGCGAGGAGGAGGCUACUGAGACUAAUACUCUUGGAUAGUGGACGUUACUCGCAGAAUAAGCACCGGCUAACUCUGUGCCAGCCGCCGCUGUAA